This 232-nucleotide ribosomal RNA is filed under the name uncultured bacterium. RNAcentral describes it as "partial 16S ribosomal RNA". It matches the Rfam family "Bacterial small subunit ribosomal RNA", at positions 99 to 334 of the family's 1533-position model. The record is from RNAcentral.
CGGACGGGUGAGUAAUGCUUAGGAAUCUGCCCAAUAGUGGGGGACAACUCGAGGAAACUCGAGCUAAUACCGCAUACGCCCUACGGGGGAAAGCAGGGGAUCUUCGGACCUUGCGCUAUUGGAUGAGCCUAAGUCGGAUUAGCUUGUUGGUGAGGUAAAGGCUCACCAAGGCGACGAUCCGUAGCUGGUCUGAGAGGACGAUCAGCCACACUGGGACUGAGACACGGCCCAG